Pezoporus flaviventris is the source of this 1898-nucleotide long non-coding RNA. RefSeq lists it as uncharacterized. NCBI's taxonomy places the organism in Eukaryota, Metazoa, Chordata, Aves, Psittaciformes, Psittacidae. The transcript has 3 exons. The record is from RefSeq and is a predicted model, not a curated record.
UUACUUAAAUGACAGGAAGAUUUCCACUUAUGAAUACGGGCUUCUGAGGGACAGCUGAGAUGCUUUUCUUAUGCGCAACACUGAAAGGUCUUGUCUUGAUUUUUCUGGUAACUUUUUGGUUUCUCUGAGGCUUGAGCUCUUUUGGGGUUCAGUGAUGUACAGGAUUAUAUAGACAUCCCUUCCAAUAAAACAGGCGCUUCCUGCUUGGGGUAUUCUCCUUUCCCAAAGGGUAUGUGAAGAGAAUAUUAUUGGAGACUCAUUUUCUUGCAUUUCUCUGCCUCCUAUUCCUCAUCAAUGGAAGACCAUUUCCCUAAUUUUAGGCAGAAUCCUUGAAAAUGGCAAGCCUGCUCAAAAGCCCUGGCAGCUGCUGGCUGACUUUGACAUGAUCCUUGUCAUUUCUUGCUAUUACUCUGUAGCCAGUUGCAACAGAGGAAUUGUCCUUAAUAGUUUCAAUUUCUUAGAAGAAAAUAUUUAAUAUUCUAUUUUAAUGUGUAUUUUAAAGAACAUACAUCUCCAUUUAGAUUUUUUUUUUAAUUAAAAAGUUUUUAGUCCAGAGCAUAGAGUUUUCAAACUAAUUCUAAAUACCUUUUUUUCAUACUUUCAUUAAUAGUACAACUUUUCUCAGAGACUGGAAUUCAUUUCUGCACAGAAGCCUUUUUAGGGAAUUAAAUGGGGUUUAUGAGAUCCUUAAUCCUGAUUCCGGCUCUUUGUGCAGGGUUGAAUUUCAUAGAAAGUGAUUUUCAGACAAAAGAGACCAGUAGAGGUAGUAUUUAAUCUCUUUCUGAAGCACUGAGAGCUUUCUGGUCUCAUGAGAUUCUGAAAUCAUGUUCCAUAUACAAAAGUUUUCUUUGUGUGUCCUGUAGGCUGGAGCACAAUGGUAGAUGACUUGCAUGUUUAUGUUGUUUGCAAUGCCUUUGGGAGUUCUUGUUCCUGCUAUUUAAACAUCCUAAUAAUUGAUAAAAUGUGUAGUUUACUUUCCCAUUGUGUAAGUUAAAAUCUUUUAUCUUCAGUUCCUGAAGUACGUACAGUCUAAUAGUAGGAAAGUACAAGGCUUAAGGUUUGCUUGUCACUAUUUGAAGAUCACCUGUAUUUUGCUCCAGUUCCACUCCAGUAAAACUCAGUUUAUUCUGUUUUCACUGCCAUAAGAUUUCAGGAAUAGCCUGGUCUUUCACAAUCACAAGGAGUAUGAAUUGCAUCCUUCCAUGUUGUAGUAGGAGACUGAAGAGUAAAUAGGAUUUGAUGUUUAUCUGGUGCUGGGAUAAGAUUGAAGCAUUCCUACACAAUGCUACUGGAAAGAUUCUGUUUGAAUGAGGUUGAUGUUUACAUAGCAUUUGCCAUAAUUUGGCCAUAUUAAUGUGCUGACUUUUGAUCAAGAACAAUCCAAGGCAUAAAUUAGAACAUCCACAAGAACUGUGUAGCAAAGGUCAGGGGUUUUGUGCAAUGAAAGGAGUGGUAUUUCAUCCUACUUUCAGAUGUUUUCAUCUUCAUUUUGAUAUUUCUUUAAGAAUUUACUGUUAACUUUUGGGUGGUUUCUUUUCUCUUUGUCACAAACCGCAUAUAAUUGCUUGGCAGCAGUUCUAUAGCUGGAGUACAGACUUUUGCCAGGAAGAAUGUGAUGAGUCAUGAUAUGUGACCAGAGUAGCUGUGCUAUUAACAUUGCCAAGAGUAGAUGGAGUUCCACCUGUAAAACUGUGCUUAGCUACUCCAAUAUAUUUGACCUGGGACAGCAAAAUCAACCAACUCUCAGAAUAAACUGUAGUGGCAAAAGUGUUUAUCUGCUUGUAUAAACUGUAUCUGCACCCCACUUUUUACCACAAUAAUAUACCAGAAUCUCUAUACCUGCAAAGCCUCUCAGCUGUAAACUUAGCCUUUGUUUUUUUGGCCUGGCUUGAUUAACA